Bison bison bison is the source of this 107-nucleotide small nuclear RNA. The record is from Ensembl. NCBI's taxonomy places the organism in Eukaryota, Metazoa, Chordata, Mammalia, Artiodactyla, Bovidae.
GUGCUUGCUUCAGCAGCACAUAUACUAAAAUUGGAACAAUUCAGAGAAGCUUAGCAUGGCCCCUGCACAAGGGUGACACAUAAAUUCAUGAAGCGUUCCAUAUUUUU